GUGAAUAAGGGGAGGGCAAGUCUGGUGUCAGCCGCCGCGGUAAUACCAGCUCCCCGAGUGGUUGGGACGAUUAUUGGGUCUGAAGCGUCCGUAGCCGGCCGAAAAAGUUCCCCGUUAAAUCUGGCGAUCCAAUCGUUGGGCUGCGGGGAAUACUCUUCGGCUUGGGGGCGAGGGAGGUCGGCGGUAGUCCCGGGGUAGGGGCGAAAUCCUAUAAUCCCGGGAGGACCACCAGUGGCGAAGGCGGCCGACUAAAGCGCGCCCGACGGUGAGGGACGAAAGCUGGGGGAGCGAACGGGAUUAGAUACCCCGGUAGUCCCAGCUGUAAACGAUGCAGGCUAGGUGUUGGGACGGCUACGAGCUGUUCCAGUGCCGCAGGGAAGCCAUUAAGCCUGCCACCUGGGAAGUACGGCCGCAAGGCUGAAUUUCUUGAGAGAUUCGAAAAUCGAUUUUCUCGGAACAGUUCACUUAAAGGAAUUGGCGGGGGAGCACCACAAGGGGUGAAGCUUGCGGUUUAAUUGGAGUCAACACCGGGAACCUUACCAAGGGCGACAGUUGGAUGAAGGUCAGAUUAAAGGUCUUACCGGACUAGCUGAGAGGAGGUGCAUGGCCGUCGCCAGUUCGUGCCGUGAGGUGUUCUCUUAAGUGAGACAACGAACGAGACCCGCGCCUCUAGUUGCUACCGGUUUCCUUCGGGAUUCCGAGCACACUAAAGGGACUGCCCUCGCUAAGAGGGAGGAAGGAGCGGGCCACGGCAGGUCAGUAUGCCCCGAAUCCUUUGGGCCACACGCGAGCUGCAAUGGAUGGUACAAUGGGGUCCGACCUCGAAAGGGGAAGGCAAUCUUCAAACCCAUCCUCAGUUGGGAUCGAGGGCUGCAACCCGCCCUCGUGAACAUGGAAUCCCUAGUAACCGCGUGUCAUCAUCGCGCGGUGAAUACGUCCCUGCUCCUUGCACACACCGCCCGUCGCUCCAUCCGAGUUUUGCUUUGGUGAGGCGUGGCCAGGUUGGUCAUGUCGAGCCUCGGUUAGACAAGGAGGGAG
This 1038-nucleotide ribosomal RNA is filed under the name uncultured archaeon. RNAcentral's name for it is "bacterial SSU rRNA". It matches the Rfam family "Archaeal small subunit ribosomal RNA", at positions 431 to 1429 of the family's 1478-position model. The record is from RNAcentral.